RNAcentral lists this ribosomal RNA (440 nucleotides) under uncultured bacterium. RNAcentral's name for it is "partial 16S ribosomal RNA". It matches the Rfam family "Bacterial small subunit ribosomal RNA", at positions 338 to 795 of the family's 1533-position model. The record is from RNAcentral.
CCUACGGGGGGCAGCAGUGGGGAAUAUUGCACAAUGGGCGAAACCCUGACGCAGCAACGCCGCGUGAGUGAAGAAGUAUUUCGGUUCGUAAAGCUCUGUCAGCAGGGAAGAACAUGACGGUACCUGAUUAACAAUCCCCUGCUGACUACUUCCCAGCAGCCGCCGUAUUACGUAGGGGGCAAGCGUUAUCUGGUACUACUGGGUGUAAAGGGAGCGCAGGCGGCAGUGCAAGUCUGGAGCGAAAGCCAUGGGCCCAACCCCGGAACUGCUCAGGAAACUGGGCGGCUAGAGUACGUGAGGGGAAAGUGGAAUUCCUGGUGUAGCGGUGAAAUGCGUAGAUAUUAGGAGGAACACCAGUGGCGAAGGCGGCCUGCUGGACAGUAACUGACGUUGAGGCGCGAAAGCGUGGGGAGCAAACAGGAUUAGAUACCCGGGUAGUC